UUUGAGACUACAAAUUUGAGCCAUGGGCUUGCCACAAGUUUCCUCUGCUGAUGAAACUAAUGAAGAUCCUGCAGCAUUGUUGGGCUCGUUUUUGCAAAGUCCAUCACAAUUUGCCAGUGCGAGCACCAGUGAUUUGAAUGGAUUGCAGGAAGGAAAUAUAAGCCGAACAGUAGGGGAUACUCUGAGUUCUUCUUUGGGAGAUUUUCAGAGGAAAACUGCCUUGGAGCGUUCUAAAUUUCCAGAGAAUUCC
This 250-nucleotide unclassified non-coding RNA is filed under the name Hevea brasiliensis (rubber tree). The record is from RNAcentral. Lineage: Eukaryota; Viridiplantae; Streptophyta; Magnoliopsida; Malpighiales; Euphorbiaceae.